GAAGGAGUCGAGAAGAUUAGCUGGUACAAAAUUUUUCGUUGGUUUAUCAAAAGAAGCGAAAUCACAUUCCUGUACCUGUUGAUAUGUAAAGGAAUUUUGGAGGCUGUUCUGGGAAGAAGAUCUGUCAGGCCUCCAUACCUUAUCAUAUCAAUAACGCCGUUUUUACAUAUAAAUUGGUAACACGGAGAUUACUAUUAAUCACAAUAAUUCAUUGGUGCAGUUGGAUAGGAAAUGAUGAAUGAAUAAUUUUCAUCUUGGACUUCAAUCAGUUGGAUCCUAAGGUCAGACCGAAUCUAUUUUUUAUUUCAUAUGGAAAUUGUGCAAGGACGUAGGAGAAAUUUCCCCGUGUACCGUUAGAAUUCCAGCAUAUAUCCCUUCCUGGAUUAUUUAACCUUCCCUCCCUGAUUUUGCAAAAGGCGAGCUCUGGAUUAGAAAAGA
Molecule: long non-coding RNA, 438 nt
Organism: Leptinotarsa decemlineata (Colorado potato beetle)
Lineage: Eukaryota; Metazoa; Arthropoda; Insecta; Coleoptera; Chrysomelidae
Source: RefSeq, a predicted model, not a curated record